Molecule: ribosomal RNA, 254 nt
Filed under: uncultured bacterium
Lineage: Bacteria
Description: partial 16S ribosomal RNA
Rfam family: Bacterial small subunit ribosomal RNA
Source: RNAcentral
UACGUAGGGUCCGAGCGUUGUCCGGAUUUAUUGGGCGUAAAGAGCUCGUAGGCGGUUCCGUAAGUCAGAUGUGAAAACUCAGGGCUCAACCCGGAGACGCCAUCUGAUACUGCGGUGACUGGAGUCUGGUAGGGGAACACGGAAUUCCUGGUGUAGCGGUGAAAUGCGCAGAUAUCAGGAGGAACACCGAUGGCGAAGGCAGUGUUCUGGGCCAGUACUGACGCUGAGGAGCGAAAGCGUGGGGAGCAAGCAGG